GGGCGUUAAGUUGCAGGGUAUAGACCCGAAACCCGGUGAUCUAGCCAUGGGCAGGUUGAAGGUUGGGUAACACUAACUGGAGGACCGAACCGACUAAUGUUGAAAAAUUAGCGGAUGACCUGUGGCUGGGGGUGAAAGGCCAAUCAAACCGGGAGAUAGCUGGUUCUCCCCGAAAGCUAUUUAGGUAGCGCCUCGUGAAUUCAUCUCCGGGGGUAGAGCACUGUUUCGGCUAGGGGGCCAUCCCGGCUUACCAACCCGAUGCAAACUGCGAAUACCGGAGAAUGUUAUCACGGGAGACACACGGCGGGUGCUAACGUCCGUCGUGAAGAGGGAAACAACCCAGACCGCCAGCUAAGGUCCCAAAGUCAUGGUUAAGUGGGAAACGAUGUGGGAAGGCCCAGACAGCCAGGAUGUUGGCUUAGAAGCAGCCAUCAUUUAAAGAAAGCGUAAUAGCUCACUGGUCGAGUCGGCCUGCGCGGAAGAUGUAACGGGGCUAAACCAUGCACCGAAGCUGCGGCAGCGACGCUGAUGCGUUGUUGGGUAGGGGAGCGUUCUGUAAGCCUGUGAAGGUGGCCUGUGAGGGU
RNAcentral lists this ribosomal RNA (584 nucleotides) under Salmonella enterica subsp. enterica serovar Kentucky. Its description in RNAcentral is "bacterial LSU rRNA". It matches the Rfam family "Bacterial large subunit ribosomal RNA", at positions 690 to 1270 of the family's 2925-position model. The record is from RNAcentral. Lineage: Bacteria; Pseudomonadati; Pseudomonadota; Gammaproteobacteria; Enterobacterales; Enterobacteriaceae.